This is a small nuclear RNA of Ictidomys tridecemlineatus (thirteen-lined ground squirrel), 107 nucleotides long. Lineage: Eukaryota; Metazoa; Chordata; Mammalia; Rodentia; Sciuridae. The record is from Ensembl.
GUGCUCACUUUGGCAGCACAUAUACUAAAAUUGGAACAAUACAGAGAAGAUUAGCUUGGCCCCUGUGCAAGGAUGACACGCAAAUUCGUGAAGUGUUCCAUAAAAAA